CAAUGCCCUCCGGGGCUCUUUGGUGAUUCAUAAUAACUUCUCGAAUCGCAUGGCCUUGUGCCGGCGAUGGUUCAUUCAAAUUUCUGCCCUAUCAACUUUCGAUGGCAGGGUCUUGGCCUGCCAUGGUUACAACGGGUAACGGAGGGUUAGGGCUCGACCCCGGAGAAGGAGCCUGAGAAACGGCUACUACAUCCAAGGAAGGCAGCAGGCGCGCAAAUUACCCAAUCCCGAUUCGGGGAGGUAGUGACAAUAAAUACUGAUACAGGGCUCUUUCGGGUCUUGUAAUUGGAAUGAGUACAAUUUAAAUCCCUUAACGAGGAACAAUUGGAGGGCAAGUCUGGUGCCAGCAGCCGCGGUAAUUCCAGCUCCAAUAGCGUAUAUUAAAGUUGUUGCAGUUAAAAAGCUCGUAGUUGAACCUUGGGCCUGGCUGGCCGGUCCGCCUCACCGCGUGCACUGGUUCGGCCGGGCCUUUCCCUCUGGGGAUCCCCAUGCCCUUCACUGGGUGUGGCGGGGAACCAGGACUUUUACUGUGAAAAAAUUAGAGUGUUCAAAGCAGGCCUAUGCUCGAAUACAUUAGCAUGGAAUAAUAAAAUAGGACGUGCGGUUCUAUUUUGUUGGUUUCUAGGACCGCCGUAAUGAUUAAUAGGGACAGUCGGGGGCAUCAGUAUUCAAUUGUCAGAGGUGAAAUUCUUGGAUUUAUUGAAGACUAACUACUGCGAAAGCAUUUGCCAAGGAUGUUUUCAUUAAUCAGGAACGAAAGUUAGGGGAUCGAAGACGAUCAGAUACCGUCGUAGUCUUAACCAUAAACUAUGCCGACUAGGGAUCGGACGAAGUUAUUUAUUGACUCGUUCGGCACCUUACGAGAAAUCAAAGUCUUUGGG
Molecule: ribosomal RNA, 881 nt
Filed under: Halocryptovalsa salicorniae
Lineage: Eukaryota; Fungi; Ascomycota; Sordariomycetes; Xylariales; Diatrypaceae
Description: SSU rRNA
Rfam family: Eukaryotic small subunit ribosomal RNA
Source: RNAcentral